AGAACCUGAACCCUGAAAACACGCUGCAAGAAACACGAGCAGCUCAUUCAGGUUCUAGAAUUCUCUUGGACAAAGCAUUUGAAGCUGCCUGAGCUGAAGGAAGCAACAAGAAAAAUUAACCUCGUUAACAACUACAUCUACAGAGAUACAGAGAUCCCAGAAUAUCCUCGACCUCAGUUUCAGGUCAGUUUUCUGAAACAUGAUACAACAGUAGAAGGCUUGAAAGGAAUCCGGCAGGAUGGAGGCUUUAGAGAUCCACAUGGAGGAUCUCUGGUUUGGUGGAGUCUGUCUGUGAGAGAUGAAGAUGUGGGAGCUGCAGAGAGGAAGAUGAUGGAGGAGGAGUACCGCGGUAUGAACGGGCAGAUCAACCUGAAGAGGUUCGCCACCUCCCCAGCCUUUUCUCCAAAAUCCCGGUUGGGCCACUUCCGCUUCACCUUCCCCCUGGAGGAGGUGCUAAAGGCAUACAGUCAGCAGUUCUGCAGUGGUGGUCAGCCCGUCAUGCGGGUCUAUGAGACGGUCCUUUACAAACAGGAAAUAGUGUAUGCGGUGUUGGUCCACAGUCCAGAUGAUCAGAAGAACUUCUCACAGUAUCCUUUAUUGACUGAAGACCCGAAUGCCGUCUGCUUCUUCAGAGAGGGCAGGUUCUUCUGGAGGUCAGAGGCCAUGUGUGAGACACACCGGUUUGGUCUCUUCCAAACCAACAACAGUUUAGAGGUUAAAGGGACCUCUCACUACCAUUAUUAUGUCUGGGACAAUGUCGCCAUCGCGUUUCAUGUUAGGAAAAAGGUGCUGAAGUUUGAUGUGGAUCAGCUCAGACAGAACCUGAAGGACUGUGAGCUAGACUCUGUGACGUACAACUUCACUGACAAGCUGACUGCUGAACAAGCUAAAAAACUGAUCAGAGACUUGUGGCCAGAGUCCCCGGUGGAGAAUCUGCCCCGUCACACUGGAGACGGUGAAGCUCCUCCUCUUCAGCCUCCUUCAUAAAAUCCUCCUGUAGCUCCGCCCACCUGCGGCGUCUCCUGAUCUUAUAUUUACUGUUAUCUUUGCUCUGAUUUGCUUGCUGUAACCCCCCCCCCAUCCCCACCAAUCACAGACGUGUGUGAAGUUGUUGAUUAUGCUGAUGAUUUUCUAUUAUUAGGAUCAAUAAUAAUCCUGAUGGAUUUUAUGUUGGAUGAUUUCUGAUCAUGUCUGUGUGAUCUCAUGAUGUUUUAUAUGAUUAUUCCUAAAGAUAAAUAUUUGAUGUUAUUGCUUUUACUGGAUUUUGGAAUCAUUAACUGGAGUUCAAUAUUUUAAUGAUUUAUUUUAACGAUUGUGAUGAAUAUAGAAGAUUUUAUUCAAAUCAAAAGGGCAAGUGUGAUGUUACUUUAUUCUCUUAAUCUUUUGGGUAAAUGUUUACUUUCUCAUUGAGGUGAAGGUUUUGUGUUCUCUGUUGUAGAAAACAAAAUUUAAACAAGUCUUUGUGGUCUUCACUAGUCCUGCAGUUGUGGUGGAUUGACUGAAGGACGAUUUUCUCAAAGAUUUUCUUUUUGAAAAUCACUGAGAAUCAAAGAGGAGUGCAGAGCCUUCAUUCUACCUUCAUGUAUCAUUGAAUGAAUUGACUUCAUGCAUGAAUAGAAAUAAAACCUUUUCUCUGAAGAGUUCAAUUCAGUUUUAUUUAUUUAGCCCAAUAUCACAAAAGAAUUACCCCAUUGGGCUUCAUACCGGUAAUUUAACAGAAGCAGAAGGUUGGUCAUAAAAUAGAAACAAAAGCUAAUUGCUAAACUAAACAUACUAAAUAAAACUGGUUAUCCCUGUCCUUAGAUCCUCCCUCCUGGUAAGGAAAUAUUCUUAAAAAAAAACUUCUGCUAGUUCCUGCCAACUAUAUUGCUGCUGCAUUCUGAACAAGUUGAAAACUUUUUAAAGAACUUUUUGGGCAGGCUAUUAGUAAAGAGUUACAGUAAUCCAGUCUAGACGCAACAAAUGCAUGGAUGAGUUUUUCAGCAUCACUAUUAGAUAACAUAUUUCUGAUCCGAGCUAUAUUGCGAAGGUGAAAGAAUGCAGUUCUACAAGCUUGUGAUAUGUGAGCCUUAAAUGAUAAAUCCUGGUCAAAUAAAACCCCCAAGUUUCUAACUGUAGAAUUGGAGGAAAUAUUUACAUCAUCCAAGGAGACUAUCUGAUCCGAGAGAGCAUCUCUCAGGUGUUUAGGGCCCAGUAGGUUUCUCUAGGUGGUCAUUCUGGUCUGGUUUAAUGGAUAAAUACAGCUGCAUAUCAUCUGCAUAACAGUGGAAAUUAAUGCUAUGUGUGAAAA
Long non-coding RNA from Oryzias javanicus (javanese ricefish), 2290 nucleotides. The record is from Ensembl. NCBI's taxonomy places the organism in Eukaryota, Metazoa, Chordata, Actinopteri, Beloniformes, Adrianichthyidae.